GCGGGUGUAGUUCAAUGGUAGAAUUCCAGCCUUCCAAGCUGGCCGUGUGGGUUCGAUUCCCAUCACCCGCUCCA
RNAcentral lists this transfer RNA (74 nucleotides) under Bacillota bacterium. RNAcentral describes it as "Firmicutes bacterium (gut metagenome) tRNA-Gly". It matches the Rfam family "tRNA". Rfam says of the family: Transfer RNA (tRNA) molecules are approximately 80 nucleotides in length. Their secondary structure includes four short double-helical elements and three loops (D, anti-codon, and T loops). Further hydrogen bonds mediate the characteristic L-shaped molecular structure. tRNAs have two regions of fundamental functional importance: the anti-codon, which is responsible for specific mRNA codon recognition, and the 3' end, to which the tRNAs corresponding amino acid is attached (by aminoacyl-tRNA synthetases). tRNAs cope with the degeneracy of the genetic code in two manners: having more than one tRNA (with a specific anti-codon) for a particular amino acid; and 'wobble' base-pairing, i.e. permitting non-standard base-pairing at the 3rd anti-codon position. RNAcentral also lists the same sequence under 9 other names. The record is from RNAcentral. Lineage: Bacteria; Bacillati; Bacillota.